RNAcentral lists this ribosomal RNA (443 nucleotides) under uncultured bacterium. RNAcentral's name for it is "partial 16S ribosomal RNA". It matches the Rfam family "Bacterial small subunit ribosomal RNA", at positions 338 to 795 of the family's 1533-position model. The record is from RNAcentral.
CCUACGGGAGGCAGCAGUGGGGGAUAUUGGACAAUGGGGGGAACCCUGAUCCAGCGACGCCGCGUGAGUGAAGAAGUAUUUCGGUAUGUAAAGCUCUGUCAGCAGGGAAGAAAGCAAUGACGGUACCUGACCAAGAAGCCCCGGCUAACUACGUGCCAGCAGCCGCGGUAAUACGUAGGGGGCAAGCGUUAUCCGGAAUUACUGGGUGUAAAGGGAGCGUAGGCGGUUUAGCAAGUCAGAAGUGAAAGCCCGGGGCUCAACUCCGGGACUGCUUUUGAAACUGUUGAACUAGAUUGCAGGAGAGGUAAGUGGAAGUCCGAGUGUAGCGGUGAAAUGCGUAGAUAUUAGGAGGAACACCAGUGGCGAAGGCGGCUUACUGGACUGUAAAUGACGCUGAGGCUCGAAAGCGUGGGGAGCAAACAGGAUUAGAUACCCGAGUAGUC